Molecule: long non-coding RNA, 2559 nt
Organism: Brassica rapa (field mustard)
Lineage: Eukaryota; Viridiplantae; Streptophyta; Magnoliopsida; Brassicales; Brassicaceae
Source: RefSeq, a predicted model, not a curated record
AAAAAAAUAUUUGUCACAAAUCAGUGACAUUUUGGAGACGAUAGGUGACUAAGUUUUUUAUGUCACAAAGGCGUAGCUGUUUUGUCACAAUAUUAUGACGUUCCAAGUAGUAAUCCAUUUUUGUCACAAUUAGUUACCUAAGAGUGACGAUAAUAAACAAUGUAUUAGCCGUGACAUAUUUGUGACUAUAUUCACGGUUGUCUUUGUGACGAUGUUGUGAUGGAAUAGUUAGUCUCAUACUGUGACAAAAAGACUAGAUAAUUAUGACGAAUUGGUAUAAAAUUAUAACUGGAUUUUUUUAAUAAGUAUGACUAAAAAUUUCUUAAGUACAAGUUUCUUAAACUACAAAAGUUUUAGCAUAAUCGUGAAUCAUGAUUAUAGUGUAUUCAGAAAGGCAUUUUCCAUAGGCAUACAAUUGAAGUGAUUGAGUAUAGUGUACUCAAAAAAGAAAUUUGCCAUAGGCUGACAAUUCUAGGGUCCCAAAAUUGUGCAGGCAUGGUGUAUCGAAGUGCUUACAAUUCUCAACACUGAAUGUUUGUGUGUUCGAGUUGGGUUUGUGGUUAUAAAUAGUUUUCAUGGGUUAGAUUUUUUAUAACAGAAAUUAAAAAUCAUAAUUACAUAUACAUGAGUUCUUCAUCAAACUAUAUUCUUUAUAAGAUAUAGAGUUUAGUCUUUUUAUUGGAUUAAUAAACAUAAAAUAUGUAAUGUAUAGUGUGGGUGACUCAAUCAUGAUACAUGUAAGAGAUGAAUAGAAUUUCUUAACCAAAAAUUUGGGUUUCACUACCAUGUAACGUGAAAGUGAUAAUUCAGUUUAUGCUGAUGUGCAACUAACACUACAAAUUAUUGUUCAAUUAGUGUUGACUUGAAAACAGAAUAUUUAUUGUUCAUGUUAUAUAUAAUAUAUAUAUAUGUAUAUUUAAUUAAAUGAUAAGUAUGAACAACAUAGAAGUUAUGAAUAAAAGUGGCAAUCAAGUGACUAAAACUAUUGAUAUUAAGCUAAAGAGUUAUAUUUGUUCGAGAAUUAUAUUAUCAUAAUGUUUUUUAUUGAAGGAAUCAGUUUUCACUUAUUAGAAUGAAUAUCUAGGUAGAUUUAGAAAGAAAAUCUAAUUAGUUAAAGAAAGAGGAAAGAAAGCCAAAACAAACCAAAUUAUUAUCAAAAUUAAUAGGAGAAUCAAGAAUCCCGGUAAAAGAGGAUAUUAAAUUGGGUUGUUGCCAUCAUCAUCUAAUACCCUAAUAUUUCAACUAAUACAUCAUAUAUAACUAAAUAAAGCACUAACUCCUCUUACACUUCAAUGGGAAUUCCAAUAUCCCCUCUUUCAGUUUUACCCUAAAAACUCUUCUCAGGGAAAAUUAAAGCCGUCCCUCAUUUUUAAUAACUUUUCAUGAUUUCAAAGAAGACAUCACAUGUGGCUAAUCUUAUGUUCUAGAUGCGGCUUUUGGAGAUGGUGAUAAUGACAAUAAGAGCUCCGUAAUACGCCGGUUAAUUAAUCGGGAUCUUGUAAGACACAACAAUUUCUAUUGACAAGGGAACUAUGGAGAUAACAAGACAUGCUUUGAUAAAUCUCUACAAUUGUUUUCAUCUGCUUUUGGGAUCUCCUUUGUUUAGUUUGUUUUUUUUUCUGCUAUGAAUUUAGUCUUUUUUGUCAAUAUUUAUGAUGAUUAAUCAAAUUGGAUUAUGUUGUAAGUUUCUAUGUAUCUCGAUUAUAUAUUUCUGAAAACUUUCAUAAUAAUAAAAAAUAGCUAAAAUGUUGUGAAACUCUAAACUAUUUUCACUAUUAGUGCUUAUUUAGCUAACAAGGAAGGCUAAGAAUAUAAGUGAGCUGUGACCAUACUUCAGUACAAAAUAAUUACAGUUUAUAGACGAGAAAGUAGUAGCUGUUUAGGACAAAAAUGUGACUGGAGUUUAGUAAUAACCAAUUGACGGAACUAAAAAUUUUAAUAGUCAAAUAAUUUGAUGGAUGUGAGUGUAACGGAUUGGUGAUGACCUUGUAGUCUCUAUUUGUGACAGUAUGUUACUGAACUUUCGUUGUAAUCAGCUACGGAACUGGGACAUUCUUAUCGUCACCAAAGGAGACCAUUUUUAGACGAUGUUUUCGUCAAUAAUUGUAACGGUAUUGUUACUUUAAUUUUCGUCACUGCUACUGACAAACUAGUUACAAAAUAAUUUUGUCACAAAUUAUGACGUUUUUUGUUACGGUGAAAAUUUGUGACGUCCUUAUUGUAACUGUUCAUAACCUGUCACAAUUCUGUCACAAUAAUUAUAUUGCUACGAAAUUGUGUUCAUUGCGACCAAAAAAAUUGUCACAAUAUAAUUAUUUUUUUGUAGUGUUAAAACAUGUAUUAUUGUGAAACUGAGGGAGUAUGUUUUUUUUUGGAAAUUGAUACUUUUUAAAUCAAGGUAAAUGAAAGUAGCUCACUUGAAAGAGAAAAAAAGAAGAAGAAAGUAACUCACUUGAAAUCUUUAUGAGUAACAUGUUGACAUUUAGGUUUUGGACUAUCUUAAAGAAUAAUAAUUAAUAUUCCAAAAUGUGACCUCCUAAAAUAAGAUUUUGUUAAAUU